AUAUGAUUAAAAAGGAGAGACAUAAAUACAUUAUACGACUACCUUUCUGCCUUU
RNAcentral lists this small RNA (54 nucleotides) under Arabidopsis thaliana (thale cress). RNAcentral's name for it is "ATSL018500". The record is from RNAcentral. Lineage: Eukaryota; Viridiplantae; Streptophyta; Magnoliopsida; Brassicales; Brassicaceae.